GAUGAACGCUAGCGGCAGGCCUAAUACAUGCAAGUCGAACGGUAACAUGAGUAGCAAUACUUGAUGACGAGUGGCGCACGGGUGCGUAACGCGUAUGCAAUCUACCUUUAACUGGUGAAUAGCCCGAAGAAAUUCGGAUUAAUACACCAUAGUAUAUUUGAAUGGCAUCAUUUAAAUAUUAAAACUCCGGUGGUUAAAGAUGAGCAUGCGUGACAUUAGCUAGUUGGUGAGGUAAUGGCUCACCAAGGCUACGAUGUCUAGGGGAUCUGAGAGGAUUAACCCCCACACUGGUACGGAGACACGGACCAGACUACUAAGGGAGGCAGCAGUAAGGAAGAUUGGACAAUGGUCGAAAGACUGAUCCAGCCAUGCCGCGUGAAGGAUGACGGCCCUAUGGGUUGUAAACUUCUUUUGUAUGGGAAAAAACCCUUCUACAUGUAGAAGGCUGAUGGUACCAUAAGAAUAAGGAUCGGCUAACUCCGUGCCAGCCGCCGCAGUAA
This 500-nucleotide ribosomal RNA is filed under the name uncultured bacterium. RNAcentral's name for it is "partial 16S ribosomal RNA". It matches the Rfam family "Bacterial small subunit ribosomal RNA", at positions 28 to 523 of the family's 1533-position model. The record is from RNAcentral.